ACUUGGUAUCAUGGCUACUCAGCAAAGUCUGUUCUCAAAAGUUAAGCAAGGUCCAGCUUGAUUGGUCCUUGGAUGGGAGGCCACCUGGGAAUUCCAAAUGCUGGAGGUU
This 109-nucleotide ribosomal RNA is filed under the name Salvator merianae (Argentine black and white tegu). Lineage: Eukaryota; Metazoa; Chordata; Lepidosauria; Squamata; Teiidae. The record is from RNAcentral.